GAUGAACGCUGGCGGCGUGCCUAAUACAUGCAAGUCGAGCGAACAGACGAGGAGCUUGCUCCUCUGACGUUAGCGGCGGGCGGGUGAGUAACACGUGGAUAACCUACCUAUAAGACUGGGAUAACUUCGGGAAACCGGAGCUAAUACCGGAUAAUAUAUUGAACCGCAUGGUUCAAUAGUGAAAGGCGGUUUUGCUGUCACUUAUAGAUGGAUCCGUGCCGCAUUAGCUAGUUGGUAAGGUAACGGCUUACCAAGGCAACGAUGCGUAGCCGACCUGAGAGGGUGAUCGGCCACACUGGAACUGAGACACGGUCCAGACUCCUACGGGAGGCAGCAGUAGGGAAUCUUCCGCAAUGGGCGAAAGCCUGACGGAGCAACGCCGCGUGAGUGAUGAAGGUCUUCGGAUCGUAAAACUCUGUUAUUAGGGAAGAACAAAUGUGUAAGUAACUAUGCACGUCUUGACGGUACCUAAUCAGAAAGCCACGGCUAACUACGUG
RNAcentral lists this ribosomal RNA (497 nucleotides) under uncultured bacterium. RNAcentral's name for it is "partial 16S ribosomal RNA". It matches the Rfam family "Bacterial small subunit ribosomal RNA", at positions 28 to 507 of the family's 1533-position model. The record is from RNAcentral.